Long non-coding RNA from Grus americana (Whooping crane), 355 nucleotides. RefSeq lists it as uncharacterized. The record is from RefSeq and is a predicted model, not a curated record. The transcript is spliced from 3 exons. Lineage: Eukaryota; Metazoa; Chordata; Aves; Gruiformes; Gruidae.
GAAAAACAGCGUCAUUUAAAGUGCUCCACCUCACCUGAUUGUCUUAUAUUUUUCCGCACAAGAGGCACAGUUCUGUGACCUUACCAGACUGGGAGAGGCUUUUCCCUGGAUCUUCUUAAUGGUUCGUUCAUGCAGACUGCCCACCUGGGAGGUCACAGCCCUUGCAGGAAUUAUUUUUCCAUCCUGUCAAUCUAACGCAUCCGUUGAAGCACUAUUACACUCCUUUGGAAAUGCUGUGGACAUGUGGGACAUGCUGAGGAACUGUGUAGGAGCUCGGAAGAAAAGCUACUUUCCUAAGGUGUCCUCCUCUGCACCCAAAGGCACCAAACUCCAUGAGCUCCAUGUCCCCACUCGC